UGGGGAAUAUUGGACAAUGGGCGAAAGCCUGAUCCAGCCAUGUCGCGUGUGUGAAGAAGGCCUUUUGGUUGUAAAGCACUUUAAGCGAGGAGGAGGCUACUUGGAUUAAUACUCUAGGAUAGUGGACGUUACUCGCAGAAUAAGCACCGGCUAACUCUGUGCCAGCAGCCGCGGUAAUACAGAGGGUGCGAGCGUUAAUCGGAUUUACUGGGCGUAAAGCGUGCGUAGGCGGCUUCUUAAGUCGGAUGUGAAAUCCCUGAGCUUAACUUAGGAAUUGCAUUCGAUACUGGGAAGCUAGAGUAUGGGAGAGGAUGGUAGAAUUCCAGGUGUAGCGGUGAAAUGCGUAGAGAUCUGGAGGAAUACCGAUGGCGAAGGCAGCCAUCUGGCCUAAUACUGACGCUGAGGUACGAAAGCAUGGGGAGCAAACAGG
RNAcentral lists this ribosomal RNA (430 nucleotides) under Acidobacteriota bacterium. RNAcentral's name for it is "Acidobacteria bacterium partial 16S ribosomal RNA". It matches the Rfam family "Bacterial small subunit ribosomal RNA", at positions 355 to 776 of the family's 1533-position model. The record is from RNAcentral. Lineage: Bacteria; Pseudomonadati; Acidobacteriota.